UACGGAGGUUGCAAGCGUUAUCCGGAUUUAUUGGGUUUAAAGGGUGCGUAGGCGGACCUAUAAGUCAGCGGUGAAAUCCAACAGCUUAACUGUAGAAUUGCCAUUGAUACUGUAGGUCUUGAGUAUAGCUGAAGAGGGCGGAAUGUGUUGUGUAGCGGUGAAAUGCUUAGAUAUAACACAGAACACCGAUUGCGAAGGCAGCUCUCUAAACUAUAACUGACGCUGAGGCACGAAAGCGUGGGGAUCAAACAGG
RNAcentral lists this ribosomal RNA (253 nucleotides) under uncultured bacterium. Its description in RNAcentral is "partial 16S ribosomal RNA". It matches the Rfam family "Bacterial small subunit ribosomal RNA", at positions 524 to 776 of the family's 1533-position model. The record is from RNAcentral.